RNAcentral lists this ribosomal RNA (1518 nucleotides) under uncultured prokaryote. Its description in RNAcentral is "partial 16S ribosomal RNA". It matches the Rfam family "Bacterial small subunit ribosomal RNA". The record is from RNAcentral.
AGAGUUUGAUCCUGGCUCAGAACGAACGCUGGCGGCGUGCCUAACACAUGCAAGUCGAACGAGAAAGCGGGCUUCGGCCCGUUAGUAGAGUGGCAGACGGGUGAGUAACACGUGGGUAACCUGUCCGGAGGCGGGGGAUAACUCUCCGAAAGGAGGGCUAAUACCGCAUAAUACUCGUGGGUUUCGGCCCGGCGAAUCAAAGCUUGCCUCUACAUGUAAGCAAGCACCACCGGAGGGGCCCGCGGCCCAUUAGCUUGUUGGUGAGGUAACGGCUCACCAAGGCUACGAUGGGUAGCCGGCCUGAGAGGGCGAUCGGCCACACUGGAACUGAGACACGGUCCAGACUCCUACGGGAGGCAGCAGUGAGGAAUUUUAGGCAAUGGGGGAAACCCUGACCUAGCAACGCCGCGUGUGGGAUGAAGGCCCUCGGGUCGUAAACCACUGUCAGGAGGGAAGAAAUGCGGUCCGGGAAUACCCAUGGUGUUUGACGGUACCUCCAAAGGAAGCACCGGCUAACUCCGUGCCAGCAGCCGCGGUAAUACGGAGGGUGCAAGCGUUGUUCGGAAUUACUGGGCGUAAAGCGCGUGUAGGCGGCUGGGCAAGUCGGGUGUGAAAUCCCUGGGCUCAACCCAGGAAGUGCAUCCGAAACUGCUCAGCUAGAGUCUCGGAGGGGAAGGCAGAAUUCCCAGUGUAGGGGUGAAAUCCGAGAUAUCGGGAGGAACACCAGUGGCGAAGGCGGCCACCUGGACGGUGACUGACGCUCAGACCCGAAAGCGUGGGGAGCAAACAGGAUUAGAUACCCUGGUAGUCCACGCCGUAAACGUUGUGAGCUAGUUGUGUGCGAUAUACAGUACGGGCCGAAGCAAAAGUGAUAAGUGCGCCGCCUGGGGAGUACGGCCGCAAGGCUAAAACUCAAAGGAAUUGACGGGGGCUCACACAAGCGGUGGAGCAUGUGGAUUAAUUCGAAGCAACGCGAAGAACCCUACCUGGGUUUGACACCUGGAUGCGUCCCUUGAAAGAGGGAGCCGUUGCCCUUUGGGUGAAACAGGCACAGGUGCUGCAUGGCUGUCGUCAGCUCGUGCUGUGAAGUGUCGGGUUAAGUCCCUUAACGAGCGAAACCCUUAUCGCUAGUUGCCAGCGGGUCAUGCCGGGGACUCUAGCGAGACUGCCGGCGUCAAGUCGGAGGAAGGUGGGGACGACGUCAAGUCAUCGUGGCCCUUAUGUCCAGGGUGUCUCACGUGCUACAAUGGUCGUACAGAGCGACGCAAUACCGCGAGGUGGAGCAAAUCGCAGAAAGCCGGCCUAAGUUCGGAUUGGAGUCUGCAACUCGACUCCAUGAAGUUGGAAUCGCUAGUAAUCGCGUAUCAGCCAUGACGCGGUGAAUGUGUUCCUGAGCCUUGUACACACCGCCCGUCAAGUCAUGGAAGCUGGGAGUACCCGAAGUCCGCUUAGCUAACCGCAAGGAGGCGGCGGCCGACGGUAAGCUUGGUAACUGGGUGAAGUCGUAACAAGGUAACC